Molecule: long non-coding RNA, 781 nt
Organism: Cucurbita moschata (crookneck pumpkin)
Lineage: Eukaryota; Viridiplantae; Streptophyta; Magnoliopsida; Cucurbitales; Cucurbitaceae
Exons: 2
Source: RefSeq, a predicted model, not a curated record
UUGUUUUUGGUGUAUAUAUAUAUUCCCUUAUCCCUUCAUCUUCCAUCUAUCCUUCUUCAUCAACAAAAAAAGCUGCAAACUUUGGCUCUCUUUUCUCUCUUUUUGCCCUAAUUUUUGUUUGGUUCACCGUUGUCGUGCGCUUAUAUCAGUUCAAGCUGCCAGCAUGAUCUAACCUUAAUCUCUGCUAAUUAUGUUCGAGAUUCAAGAUCAGAUCAUAUGGCAGCUUCACCUGUUCUUGGCUGCACGAAGAACUUAGCCCUAAAUACAAAACCCUAAUCACCUUCUUUUUUCCUUAACAAUUUCUUCAUUCUCACCCAUUUUCCAUGCAUAAUUCCUAAAAAAGGCAUUUCUUGGGGUCAAUUGCGAGCUUGAUCUUUGGUAUGUGUGUCCAGUGGCCGAGUAGCGAAGUUAAAAGAUAAGGCAAUUGUCUUUUUGUUCCUCUUAAAUCUUAAAAGUUCUUCACUCUUUGCUCUUCUUUGUGUUUCUAUUUUUUAGAUUAUGAUACACGAAACUCGUGUUGUGUGGUUUAACGUCGUGAUAUUAUAAUCUCGAUUAAGCGGUUGGUUUGAAUCUUUGCUCUUUGUAUCGUUAGUAUAUGUGAGCGAUGGAAGAUUUCUAAUUUUUUUUGUGCGUUUGUGUUUUAUAGAUUUAGGAAACCCCGUUCAUCUCAAAGUGAUUGUUUAAGGCUAAGAUGUUAUAAAAUUUCAAUCAAGAGAUUCAAGUUUCUGUUGAUGUUUGGUACGUGUUUGACUUAAUUAUAUAAAGUUACAAAAUUUUAUUU